CCAGUGUGGCAGCUGAAAUGUCUGUUGGCUGCCCGUGCUGUGGCAUCCUCUGUAGCGCAUCCCGUCCUUGCCCAGUGUUGGGUGCAGCUGGUUGUGCCCACCUGGCUUUUGUGGAGCUCAGCCUAAGUCCCUGUAUGUUUCUCCUGGGCCUGAGAGAAGGAGAAAGAGGGUUGUUGGUUUUUUGUUUGUUUGUUUGUUUGUUUUCUUGCACAUUACAUCCAUCUGCUGAAAGGGACAGCAUAAGAAAACAAGUCCAGAAGGGCUGCCCGCCACCCUCAGGGUCAGAAACCCUCGCAGAGAGCCCAGCAGCAGGUAGUGUGGAUCCCCCGUACCUCCUCAGUGGUCCAGGAGCUGUUUGUGGUGCCGGCAUACUGCUCGUCCCCGCAGCAGCGAAGGCGUCCUUCCUCACCUUAGUUACCUUACAGACGAGCACAUCAGGCUGGCUGCUCAGUCACAGCCUACAAGGUCUUUUUGGCGUGAUGAGAGAAAAUUGGAUAAAGACUAUUCAAGUCAGGAUUGUUUGCAAGCAGGUCACUGGUGGCCCUUUGCAGUCCAUGGACCACAAUGUGUCCCAGUCACCUUUGCCAUCUCUAGUUGGACAACAGAAGACUUCUAAGUAAGAGAACAGAACGUAAUGAGGUGUUGGUGAUGAUCUAACUAGCACCUGACUCGCCAGCCAGCUGUCCUUGGAGGGCUGGGUAGGGAUGAGUGCAGCUGUGCUCCGCGAUGGGGAGUGGCCGUUACACUGGCGGAUCCCAGUGGAGGAUUAUCCAAACAUCUCCAUGAUUUUCCUUUCACCCUGGAAAUACCCCCUGCAGCCAAUCAGCCAUGAGCAAACUUGAAAGGCGCAG
Molecule: long non-coding RNA, 851 nt
Organism: Cygnus atratus (black swan)
Lineage: Eukaryota; Metazoa; Chordata; Aves; Anseriformes; Anatidae
Exons: 3
Source: RefSeq, a predicted model, not a curated record